RNAcentral lists this ribosomal RNA (300 nucleotides) under uncultured bacterium. RNAcentral's name for it is "bacterial SSU rRNA". It matches the Rfam family "Bacterial small subunit ribosomal RNA", at positions 115 to 416 of the family's 1533-position model. The record is from RNAcentral.
ACGUGGGAAUAUACCCUUCAGUUUGGGACAACCAUUGGAAACGAUGGCUAAUACCAUAUACGCCCUUUUCAAUUGAUUUUGGAUAGGGGAAAGAUUUAUCGCUGAAGGAUUAGCCCGCGCUAGAUUAGCUAGUUGGUGAGGUAAGAGCUCACCAAGGCAACGAUCUAUAGCUGGUUUGAGAGGAUGAUCAGCCACACUGGGACUGAGACACGGCCCAGACUCCUACGGGAGGCAGCAGUGGGGAAUAUUGGACAAUGGGGGCAACCCUGAUCCAGCCAUGCCGCGUGAGUGAAGAAGGCC